RNAcentral lists this transfer RNA (72 nucleotides) under Marmota marmota marmota (Alpine marmot). It matches the Rfam family "tRNA". Rfam says of the family: Transfer RNA (tRNA) molecules are approximately 80 nucleotides in length. Their secondary structure includes four short double-helical elements and three loops (D, anti-codon, and T loops). RNAcentral also lists the same sequence under 1 other name. The record is from Rfam by way of RNAcentral. Lineage: Eukaryota; Metazoa; Chordata; Mammalia; Rodentia; Sciuridae.
GGGGAUGUAGCUCUGUGGCAGAGUGCUUGUCUAGCAUACAUGAGGCACUGAGUUCUAUCCUCAGUACUGCCA